UCACCGUAUAUUUCUUCAGCC
RNAcentral lists this non-coding RNA (21 nucleotides) under Arabidopsis thaliana (thale cress). Lineage: Eukaryota; Viridiplantae; Streptophyta; Magnoliopsida; Brassicales; Brassicaceae. The record is from RNAcentral.